GUUUCCGGAUGAUAACUCAAGAACGCUUAGGCCUAGGAUCAUGAAACUUCAUAGGUACAUUGAUCAUGACUCGCAGAUGACCCCUAUUGAUUUUGAGGUCACUAGGUCAAAGGUCAAGGUCACGGUGACCCGAAAUAGUAAAAUGGUUUCCGGAUAACUCAAGAACGCUUAGGCCUAGGAUCAUGAAACUUGAUAGGUAGAUUGAUCAUGACUCGCAGAUGACCCCUAUUGAUUUUCAGGUCACUAGGUCAAAGGUCAAGGUCACGAUGACCCGAAAUAGUAAAAUGGUUUCCGGAUGAUAACUGAAGAACGCUCAUUCCUAGGAUCAUAGAACUUGAUAGGUAGAAUGAUCAUGACUCGCAGAUGACCCCUAUUGAUUUUCAGGUCACUAGGUCAAAGGUCAAGGUCACGGUGACCCGAAAUAGUAAAAUGGUGUCCGGAUGAUAACUCAAGAAUGCUUAUGGCUAGGAUCAUGAAACUUCAUAGGUACAUUGAUCAUGACUGGCAGAUGACCCCUAUUGAUUUUCAGGUCACUAGGUCAAAGGUCAAGGUCACAGUGACAAAAAACAUAUUCACACAAUGGCUCUCACUACAACGGAGAGCCCAUAUGGGGGGCAUGCAUGUUUUACAAACAGCCCUUGUUAAUUU
This is a long non-coding RNA of Dreissena polymorpha, 648 nucleotides long. RefSeq lists it as uncharacterized. NCBI's taxonomy places the organism in Eukaryota, Metazoa, Mollusca, Bivalvia, Myida, Dreissenidae. The transcript is spliced from 3 exons. The record is from RefSeq and is a predicted model, not a curated record.